UACGUAGGGACCGAGCGUUGUCCGGAUUCAUUGGGCGUAAAGAGCUCGUAGGCGGCUGUUCAAGUCGAACGUGAAAACUCGGAGCUCAACUCCGAGCCUGCGUUCGAGACUGGAUGGCUAGAGUCUGGUAGGGGGAUCUGGAAUUCCUGGUGUAGCGGUGGAAUGCGCAGAUAUCAGGAGGAACACCGGUGGCGAAGGCAGCAAACUGGGCAUCAACUGACGCUGAGGCGCGAAAGCGUGGGUAGCAAACAGG
This 253-nucleotide ribosomal RNA is filed under the name uncultured bacterium. RNAcentral's name for it is "partial 16S ribosomal RNA". It matches the Rfam family "Bacterial small subunit ribosomal RNA", at positions 524 to 776 of the family's 1533-position model. The record is from RNAcentral.